Molecule: ribosomal RNA, 469 nt
Filed under: Thunnus alalunga (albacore)
Lineage: Eukaryota; Metazoa; Chordata; Actinopteri; Scombriformes; Scombridae
Description: partial 12S rRNA
Rfam family: Bacterial small subunit ribosomal RNA
Source: RNAcentral
CCACUAUGCCUAGCCGUAAACAUUGAUAGAAUUUUACACCCUCUAUCCGCCUGGGUACUACGAGCAUUAGCUUGAAACCCAAAGGACUUGGCGGUACUUUAGAUCCCCCUAGAGGAGCCUGUUCUAUAACCGAUGACCCCCGUUCAACCUCACCCUCCCUUGUUUCUCCCGCCUAUAUACCGCCGUCGUCAGCUUACCCUGUGAAGGUCUAAUAGUAAGCAAAAUUGGCACCGCCCAGAACGUCAGGUCGAGGUGUAGCGCAUGAGAGGGGAAGAAAUGGGCUACAUUCGCUAAUAUAGCGAAUACGAACGAUGCACUGAAAACGUCCAUCUGAAGGAGGAUUUAGCAGUAAGUGGAAAAUAGAGUGUUCCACUGAAAUCGGCUCUGAAGUGCGUACACACCGCCCGUCACUCUCCCCAAGCUUACCAAUUUAUGUAUCUAAAACGCUUUAACUGCGAAGGGGAGGCAA